UGGUACGUGAGCUGGGUUCAGAACGUCGCGAGACAGUUUGGUCCCUAUCUGCCGUGGGCGUCGAAAUUUGAGAGGAGUUGCCCCUAGUACGAGAGGACCGGGGUGAACAUGCCUCUGGUGUACCUGUCGUCGUGCCAACGGCGCAGCAGGGUAGCUAUGCAUGGACGGGAUAACCGCUGAAAGCAUCUAAGCGGGAAGCCU
This 201-nucleotide ribosomal RNA is filed under the name Nostoc sp. 3335mG. Its description in RNAcentral is "partial 23S ribosomal RNA". It matches the Rfam family "Bacterial large subunit ribosomal RNA", at positions 2594 to 2795 of the family's 2925-position model. Lineage: Bacteria; Bacillati; Cyanobacteriota; Cyanophyceae; Nostocales; Nostocaceae. The record is from RNAcentral.